ACUCCUACGGGAGGCAGCAGUAGGGAAUCUUCCACAAUGGACGAAAGUCUGAUGGAGCAACGCCGCGUGAACGAUGAAGGCUUUCGGGUCGUAAAGUUCUGUUGUAAGGGAAGAACAAGUGCCGCAGGCAAUGGCGGCACCUUGACGGUACCUUGCGAGAAAGCCACGGCUAACUACGUGCCAGCAGCCGCGGUAAUACGUAGGUGGCAAGCGUUGUCCGGAAUUAUUGGGCGUAAAGCGCGCGCAGGCGGCCUCUUAAGUCUGAUGUGAAAGCCCCCGGCUCAACCGGGGGAGGGCCAUUGGAAACUGGGAGGCUUGAGUAUAGGAGAGAAGAGUGGAAUUCCACGUGUAGCGGUGAAAUGCGUAGAGAUGUGGAGGAACACCAGUGGCGAAGGCGACUCUUUGGCCUAUAACUGACGCUGAGGCGCGAAAGCGUGGGGAGCAAACAGGAUUAGAUA
This 458-nucleotide ribosomal RNA is filed under the name uncultured bacterium. RNAcentral's name for it is "bacterial SSU rRNA". It matches the Rfam family "Bacterial small subunit ribosomal RNA", at positions 335 to 784 of the family's 1533-position model. The record is from RNAcentral.